This 69-nucleotide transfer RNA is filed under the name Ictidomys tridecemlineatus (thirteen-lined ground squirrel). Its description in RNAcentral is "Spermophilus tridecemlineatus (thirteen-lined ground squirrel) tRNA". It matches the Rfam family "tRNA". From Rfam's summary of the family: Transfer RNA (tRNA) molecules are approximately 80 nucleotides in length. Their secondary structure includes four short double-helical elements and three loops (D, anti-codon, and T loops). The record is from Rfam by way of RNAcentral. Lineage: Eukaryota; Metazoa; Chordata; Mammalia; Rodentia; Sciuridae.
GGAAUUGUGGCUCAGCAGUAGAGUACUCACUUAUCACGUGAGAAGCCCUGGGUUCAAUCCUCAGCACCA